UACGUAGGGUGCAAGCGUUGUCCGGAAUUAUUGGGCGUAAAGAGCUCGUAGGCGGUCUGUCGCGUCGAAUGUGAAAACCCGGGGCUCAACCCCGGGCCUGCAUUCGAUACGGGCAGACUAGAGUUCGGUAGGGGAGUCUGGAAUUCCUGGUGUAGCGGUGAAAUGCGCAGAUAUCAGGAAGAACACCAAUGGCGAAGGCAGCUCUCUGGGACGGUACUGACGCUGAGACGCGAAGGCGUGGGGAGCGAACAGG
RNAcentral lists this ribosomal RNA (253 nucleotides) under uncultured bacterium. RNAcentral describes it as "partial 16S ribosomal RNA". It matches the Rfam family "Bacterial small subunit ribosomal RNA", at positions 524 to 776 of the family's 1533-position model. The record is from RNAcentral.